Molecule: long non-coding RNA, 1148 nt
Organism: Eublepharis macularius
Lineage: Eukaryota; Metazoa; Chordata; Lepidosauria; Squamata; Eublepharidae
Exons: 3
Source: RefSeq, a predicted model, not a curated record
ACAGCUCAUAACAGCAGGCAGCGAAGCAUGAAAUAGAAAGAAAGAUUAGGAAGACUUCAUCCACAAUAAAUGACCAUUCUGUGACAAUACAGGAGAAGCUUCUCUGGAUCGUUGCAACAGUUCAGUUCAGUGUGAGUGGCAUUAUAAAAUGAAUGUCAGUGACACGGAAGCAAGCUCUGUGCUGAAGAAUUUGCUCCAUCUUUAUGUACAACAAAGGGAUAGGAGAAGUGUCAGGUGCUGUAAUUACACAAACCCCUAUGUUCAGGAGCAGGAAAAUAUCAUGGCUUCUCUAUUCAUCCUGAUUAUUGUUGGGUUUUUUGGCUUUCUCCUCUUUGCCUUGAUGCUCAGCAAUAUUGUUUUCAAGAAGCAGGAAAAUUAUAUGGACCGCCUUUAUCAUGAGACACUACAGUCAGCUGGAAGAAAACUGUCACAUAAAGGCAAAUUGGCUGUCCUCACCAAGAAUGUCACUUCAGAGUCAAACGAUAUUGACAGGUGUAAAAAGACUACCAGCUGCAUGACAGCAACUGAGGCUCCAAGCACAGAGUCAGUACUGCAAAAUGUAUGAAAAUGUACUCCCUGUGCAGCUUGAUGCCUUAUUAUGAACUGAGUAGGUGCGUCUGUUACUCACAGAAGUAUGGAACUAAGAGCCUGCACCAGUUCCCAGCGAAGUGUCUGGCCCUCAGCUGAAGAAAAUCAUUCUGUCCUCCUGAACAGUGCACAGGCUUUCCUAUUCCAGCCCUGUGCUUUCAGGUGGGAGGCCAGAAAUCAAGUACAAACUUAAUUUUUGAUUUUUACUCUUUUUUACUCUUUUCAGAACUUAUUAAAUUUAUAUAUGUAUAUACUGUGUCAUCCAUGGAAGAAGAAAACCAUUUCCGUCCUUAUAUAUUUUUUUUUACUAUGCCAUUUUCUUCUAGGCAUUAAGAUGUGUGGAUUAUUUAUUUAUUAUUGAUCAGCCCUGAUGCUUAUGCUCCAUGUGUCAAAAUAAAGACAGAUAAGCUGUCUUAACAAGGUCUGCACAGUUUCAGGGGAAAGUGAAAGGGCAAAGGUCACAUGUAGUUGACUCACGCCAAAGCUCAUAUUAAACUAAGGGCAGCUUUAGGCCCAACAAGAAAACUAGGAGUGUUUCCAUGCUUCUGCUUCACAUCAUA